CUGUUGAGAGCUUUUUUUUCUCUCCGCCGUGGCUCCGGUCCAACACAAACUGAAACAUGAUACAGUGUGUGUAUGCGCCAUAGUGCUAGCGUUUUCCCUGUCUGCCAAAGUGGCGGAUGGCCUGAAGAUUUUAUCCGCCACUGUCAACAAUUUACCUGUAUUUGGCGGGUGGCGGGUGCUAACUUAGGAUCCUGGAGCUGUGGUCGUGCGUUGCAAUUGGUUAAAUUUCGGCGAGUGCAGACCAGAUUUUACUGCACAUGUGUUGUACCCCAAAGAUAUGACGCGUUGAUGAAUCGUGACCUAGCCUCCUUCAAUAGGCCUUGGCAGUUUCCCCCUGCUUCAAGUCUUUGUGCUAAGCUAGGCUAGCAGUUUCCCCCUGCUUCCAGCCUUUGUGCUAAGCUAGGCUAGCAGUUUCCCCCUGCUUCCAGUCUUUGUGCUAAGCUAUGCUAACCAUGUCCUGUACACAGAGAUGAAACAAAAUAUUUUAAAAGCUGGAUUUGUGAAAAUGUUGGAACUUUUCCUUUAACUCCACAGCUUUGUCAGUAACAUGAUGCUCAGUCUGAUUGUGGCUCUGGUUGUCACAGUGUGUUUUUAGCGUGUUUUUGGUGUGUAAAGCAGACUCCAGUGGUGUGUUGUCCUCUCCUCCCUCGCUGGGAAUGGAAGGAAAUGGCCAGUAACUCAGCCUUAUAGUUUCCAUCAUCACCAGUUGUCUCGAUGUGGUGAAAAACAUUUUAAAUUUCAAUCUGAGUGACUUGUGUUGAGCAGUUGUUGAUUAUUUUGUAUGACUUUUAUUUUCAUUCUGUUUUUCAGAGACUUUUGCAGACUGGUUCUAACCAGUCCUGACUGGUUCUGACUGGUUCUAACCAUUCCUGACUGGUUCUGACCGGUUCUGACUGGCUCUGACCAGUCCUGACUGGUUCUGACCAGUCCUCACUGGUUCUGACUGGUUCUAACCAGUCCUGACUGGUUCUGACUGGUUCUAACCGGUCCUGACUGGUUCUGACUGGUUCUGACCAGUGUGUGUAUGAUAACAGUGUGUAGUAUCAGUCCAGUGUGCACUUUCUCUUCAUGUGCCAAAGUUCGUAUUUAAAACUAUACAGUAUUCAGUAUACAGAGCAAGUGAAGUUGUUGGCUAAUAUAUCAGAUUAUGUUUUAAGUAUUUCUUGUUGUUACUUUGGGCUGGAUACCAGUUUAUAGCCAGUUACAGUCUCUUACACCAGUUUGGGACGGUUAUAACUAGAGAUGAACAUAAUUAAGUUAUUACACAAAUUACUUUUUUUAGGUGCGAAAUUAACAGAUUUCUAAUAUGUGGUUGAUUUCUAAGAAUAACACCUGUGAGGCCCCGCUAAUGCAAACUAGCUAUAGCUAGGAGGCUAGCGCUCCAGAUGACUCGCCACACUUAAUAAUAAAUAUAAUGUAAUUAUUGAAAAAAACAGAGGCAGUGUAUAUUCACAGUAAUUCAACAAGUUUGGACUCCCAUGAACAUGAGUUAAUGUGAUGAGUUUAUUAAUUUCCAUUUAAAUGUUAGCGAAUAACUGGACCUGCUUGUCUGUAGUUAUAACCGCCUGUUAGCAGAGCCAGUUAAUGCCUGUUUUGACCAGUAAGAUCAAGUUUUAAUUGGUUUAUUUACAGCCAGUUUGAACCAGUUAGAGCCACUACUAGCCAGCUGGAAACCAGUACAGCCAGUCAGUAUGAAGCUACUACCACAGCUGGUCAGAACUGGUUCUGACUGGUUCUAGAGCUGGUUCUGUCACACUGGACUGUCAUCAGUAUUUUGCCUUACAGUUUCUGAACUUUAUUGAACUUUGCUUUGUGCCAAAUCAGACGACUCGGAUCGCUGUCAGUGUUCAACAGUUACUGUCUGUUUUUGUAUUUAUUUGUCUUUUUUAAUCCAAAGUGUUAUUAUUGUUUUCUUUUUUUUUUACUUCCUGAUAUGAUCUCAGUGGUUUUCAUCCUUUCAAACUGUCUCUGAUUCCUCCUCAUCAGACGGUCAAUGUGUUAUGGACUGUUAUGGGCUGCUGUUACCAUGGAGACCUUCACUGAGAUGAAGCUGAAACAACCAAAUAAUGUUGAUAAACCUCUAAAUAUCACCAAAUAUGGUGUAACAGCAGCAUGGUUGUGUAUUCUUCUUCUUCCUGUUGUACUUCUGGUAUCUUGUUAUUAAUGAUUAUUGAGUAUUGAUUGAUUGAUUGCAGGUUAUUGGUUAGUGGCCGGCCACUGCCUUCCAUCCUGUUUCCCAUCAUGCCCUUCUGUAAGAACAUGAGAACUGUUUAUGAGGAUAUAAAUGAAAUAAAAACAUAAAAACUGA
This is a long non-coding RNA of Sebastes umbrosus (honeycomb rockfish), 2308 nucleotides long. RefSeq lists it as uncharacterized. NCBI's taxonomy places the organism in Eukaryota, Metazoa, Chordata, Actinopteri, Perciformes, Sebastidae. The transcript has 2 exons. The record is from RefSeq and is a predicted model, not a curated record.